UAUGCUUGCGGGUAACAUGCUAACUGAAGAUGCUUUGCCUACUUAUCAGACUCUAUUUAAUACGUUUGAUGGAGUACGCGAUGAGACUGGAUCGAGCCCAUGUCCAUGGGCAAUUUGGACUCGGGCUUGGUCAGCUGAGGAAAAUCGACAUGGCGAUCUGCUAAGAACUUAUCUCUAUCUUUCCGGAAGAGUGGAUGUGUUGAUGGUGGAGAAAACACUACAAUACUCUAUUGGAGCUGGAAUUGAUAUCGGAGCAGAGAACAAUCCAUAUAUGGGGUUUGUGUACACGUCAUUUCAAGAGCGA
RNAcentral lists this unclassified non-coding RNA (304 nucleotides) under Hevea brasiliensis (rubber tree). Lineage: Eukaryota; Viridiplantae; Streptophyta; Magnoliopsida; Malpighiales; Euphorbiaceae. The record is from RNAcentral.